RNAcentral lists this long non-coding RNA (1707 nucleotides) under Laticauda laticaudata (blue-ringed sea krait). RNAcentral describes it as "lncRNA (ENSLLTG00000017893.1)". Lineage: Eukaryota; Metazoa; Chordata; Lepidosauria; Squamata; Elapidae. The record is from RNAcentral.
AUGGGAGAACCUUUGCCACCUUUCUCGGAGCAGUAUUAUAGGAUGACUGAUUCUGUUCCAGAGACGUGUACAGAUGCUGAACUGUGUCAUACAUUAUAUAGGUUACAGCUUGUAUCUUCAACUGGGCCCCGAAAUCUAUUGACAGCCAACAAACUGCUUUGGAGAAACAUAAGGCUACCCUGAACAAUGUGGGAUUGGAUGGGAGAAUUUGUCCGAAAUUAUAUUUGGUUCUCAGAUGUCAAUUUGAGGAAGGUAAGUGGAGGAAAGUUUCUUUGUUAGAUUCAAAAGCGACUUCUGAAACUACAGAGAACAAAAUAAGUUUCUGAGAAAAGAAAGGAACAGGAUAUUUUCACAGGUUUCCUUAAAUUAUGUUAGGGUUACUGUGCAUAUAGCCUUCUGAUCAAAAUUGCAUAAAAUUCAUGUAUUCAUUCUGAUGCUAUUGUCCAACAUUUCUGUGCAAUAUAAAAACAACGUGUUAGCAAAUAAACAUGCAAAAAUAACUACAAUGGAUUCUAUUUCAAAAGUUGACAUGUCAAGUUAUGGCUAGGAUUUCUCUGCCCACACAUAAUUUACACAUGCACCCUGUCUCUCCCUGUCCAUAUUGCAAGAAAGCAUUUGAACUUGCAUUUAACAUCAACAAAAGUACAGUUGAAGGUGGUGGUUAUCUAUUAAUUCCUGCAUGAACUGAUUAUUUGUAGGACUGCCUGUCUCUAGUUGUAUUGUUCCAUUCCAUGCCCUCUGUCCUAUAAAUCAUUUGGCUGGACCCAGGAAGAAUACCACUUCCAUGGCAAUGCCUGGCUCUCGAAUGAUCUUCCCUGAGAUUCAGUUGGUCCUGAUUCUGCUAGCUUUUCACAAGGCAUUAAAAUACUGGUUUUCAGGCUGGGAUGUUAGAUGUGUCCACUUUGGGAGAUGGUAUGGUGUGGGAUAACAGCCAGAUUGUAUGUUUUGUUGUUAUUGUUGACUACAGUUAACCAUGUCUUUUUAGCUGUUCCUUGGCAAGUUGACAGCCUUAUAAAUUGAUUAAAUAUAUCCUCCUCCUUAGAACUUGAAUAACUUUAUUGUCACUUUGAAUAUGCACCAAUUGGCAUACAUUAAAAUGAAAUUGCAUUGCAUGCAGCUCCCAAAGGAUCACUAUGUCCAAUCUCCUCCUCCUCUUCCUCCGCCUUUGAUAACAGAGAAGGCUUUAACUUUUCCUACUUCUAUUUCAAUGACCCAUGAUACCUUCCCAUACUCCAUGCUUAAUAUCUAGACAUAGUAUCAUGCUAUGUAUUCCAGUAAUAGCUUGGUCCUCCUAUCCCACCUCAUGGGAAGUUAAAGUAUUAAUCUAAUGCAAUUUUGAGGAGGAUGAGAUGGAAUGUCAAAAUCAUACUUAUUGCUAAUAUAUGGAAUCUCAUUGAUUUACUGAAAUGAAAUCCCUAUUCAAAUUAAUCCCAUUGAUGUUCUCUUUAGAGUCCCAGAAUAUACAGUAGCAGCAAAAUAUACUGUCAUCAAUGUAAGUCGUGAUUGAUGAAGCACUUUUUUUCAAAAUAACUAAUAUUGGGUUUUUUUUGUUGAUUUUAUGCUGAUUCUAUCUAAUAAAGAACAACUUGUCUCAGUGUACAAAUGGACCGGGUUUUUUUUUUAGUCCAGUAAUAAAAAGUACAAAUCCAGCCUGUGAACUUAUAAAUCUUUUUUUGAUGUGGCCUUACAUUACUGAAGUUUAAAUGC